Molecule: long non-coding RNA, 923 nt
Organism: Ficedula albicollis (Collared flycatcher)
Lineage: Eukaryota; Metazoa; Chordata; Aves; Passeriformes; Muscicapidae
Exons: 4
Source: RefSeq, a predicted model, not a curated record
GGCGGCGGAGGAAAGUUUGGAGCUGCUGCGGAUCCCGGAGGGAUAGUGUCACUGGGCCGGGAAUAAACCGGGAUUAGCGUUUAGGCUCUGCUCUGGUCGUCACCUAAGUUAGGCGUGUGUUGUGCCGAAGACGGUCGCAGCGCGUUGGGAGUUGGCGGGGCAGCUCCUGCAGCUCUGGGUGCGUGAGGUGACCAAACCCACGGCAGAGCUGGCAUCCCCCCAUGUGCAAAGCCCAUUGGUCAGCCCCCACCCUGCCCUGGCUUUAAAAUGAGGUACGGAGUGCAAUCUGAAUCAGCUGACAAAUGAACACAUCCUGAGGUGGCCGUGGUGGCUUCUGUCAGCUGAGUACAGCAGAUCCAGCACCAGCAGUGUCUUAUAGUGAGAUUGCACUCCAUUGGCUUUGACCUGAAACAAGGAUGUAACUUAGUAAAAGUUUUACUGACUAUUCCCUCCCACCGCCCUCCUCGAAGCAGCAAAUGGGACUUUAGAUAAAAGCCUUGUCACAGCAGGAGGAUUAAACCUUGCAAAGGACCUGGACAUUUGUGUGCUUGCUUCUGCUGAUUGCCCACCAGAACUGCAGUCCAGAGGCCCGAGUGAGAUUUGAGGUCUGGGAGAGCCCUUGUCCAGUAUCACCUGACAGUCUCAUCUGGGUCUCUCCAAGAUCCAUCUCAUCUCUGCUGCUCUCACGUUCUGCACAGUGUCUGAUAAAAGCUGCUGUGGAGAGCCUGUGUCGUCAGCUGGGCUUAUUGCCCAGAGCUGGUGCGUGUCCUGUCCUUGCAGGUGUUACGUGUGGGUGGCUGGCCCUGGAAGUUGGCCUUCUUAGCAGAAACUACUUGUUCAAAACCCCAGGUUUGAGAUUUAGCUAGAAUAUAUAACCCAGUGUUUCCUUGUCAGUUUCAGGGAAUUGCAGUCACACAGGAAUC